Biomphalaria glabrata is the source of this 673-nucleotide long non-coding RNA. RefSeq lists it as uncharacterized. NCBI's taxonomy places the organism in Eukaryota, Metazoa, Mollusca, Gastropoda, Planorbidae. The transcript is spliced from 3 exons. The record is from RefSeq and is a predicted model, not a curated record.
GGUAAAUUAACUUCCGGUAGAUUUUUUUUUUACGUAUAAAGAAACCAUUCUCGAAGAUUUUUACCACCACUUUUACAGCAAAUCAUGAAUGGAAACUGAAUUGUUAAAGAAGAUGUUACAGAGGAGCAUACUACUUCCAAAAACCUGAUUUGAUUGUCACUAACUUUCAAAUUGAAAGGGAUCUACUACAACUGCUCAUGAAUUUCGAGAUUUUACAGCUAAUAGAGGAACAAAUUUUAUCUGCUUCCACUUAGCCAAACAGCAUGGAAAUAUGCUAUUGUAAUGAGUAGAAGAUAUUUGUCAUUUAGAGUAUCAUGCAACAGCUAAUUAUCAGUCCACACAUUUCAAGAUGAGGAAAAGAACAGUAUAAGCUACAUUCAUUGAUGCAUUAUUUAUACAAAAAUGUAUAGUCAACCCAGUCAUCACUCCAUUUUUUUAUGAAGCCAGUUACAGUUACCAUGAAGGGAUGAAAUUUCAGAUAAUAUUUUGUUUAUUUCAUGAAAUGAGAAUAGGCCUACAUCAGAAAUUGAGAUGGUCAUCUUCAGUAUUUAAUGUUUCAUCUAAAAAUGAUAAUUAUAUUAAUACAUAUUUGAUGUACAAACAAAUGAAAACCAUUCAAACACUUUUUUUUUGUGAAGUAUAGAUGAUUAAACUUGUAAGUGUCUGAACAAUA